Pelobates cultripes (western spadefoot toad) is the source of this 247-nucleotide non-coding RNA. The record is from the annotation of a GenBank genome assembly. Lineage: Eukaryota; Metazoa; Chordata; Amphibia; Anura; Pelobatidae.
AGCUCUGAUGCCGUGGCUUUGAAAAAAAUAUUACUGGUGGAUAUUAACAAUUUUGAGUAUUUCACAAACAACUCUGAAUGUACAUUUUGAAUUAAAGUUCUGUCCGAGAUGUGUCAGAGCAUCAUCUUCAUAGUUUUCCAAAAUUUUCUAGAGGGCUUAGUUUGGACGGUGUAGCAUUGACCGUGUGUCUUGGCUUACUAAUCAUUCAGUCACCUGUGGAGGCAGAGAAUGAGAAAUCACUGCCAUU